Molecule: transfer RNA, 75 nt
Filed under: Candidatus Ornithoclostridium faecigallinarum
Lineage: Bacteria; Bacillati; Bacillota; Clostridia; Christensenellales; Christensenellaceae
Description: tRNA-Gln
Rfam family: tRNA
About the family: Transfer RNA (tRNA) molecules are approximately 80 nucleotides in length. Their secondary structure includes four short double-helical elements and three loops (D, anti-codon, and T loops).
Source: RNAcentral
AGGGGUAUCGCCAAGCGGUAAGGCAUCAGACUUUGACUCUGAUAUGCGUAGGUUCGAAUCCUGCUACCCCUGCCA